This 545-nucleotide ribosomal RNA is filed under the name Clostridioides difficile. RNAcentral describes it as "partial 23S ribosomal RNA". It matches the Rfam family "Bacterial large subunit ribosomal RNA", at positions 2378 to 2925 of the family's 2925-position model. The record is from RNAcentral. Lineage: Bacteria; Bacillati; Bacillota; Clostridia; Peptostreptococcales; Peptostreptococcaceae.
AGACAUACAGGUCGAGCAAGGAUGAAAAUCGGACUUAGUGAUCCGGUGGUUCUGCGUGGAAGGGCCAUCGCUCAACGGAUAAAAGCUACCCUGGGGAUAACAGGCUUAUCUCCCCCAAGAGUCCACAUCGACGGGGAGGUUUGGCACCUCGAUGUCGGCUCAUCACAUCCUGGGGCUGUAGUAGGUCCCAAGGGUUGGGCUGUUCGCCCAUUAAAGUGGUACGCGAGCUGGGUUCAGAACGUCGUGAGACAGUUCGGUCCCUAUCCGUCGCAGGCGUAGGAAAUUUGAGAAGACCUGUCCUUAGUACGAGAGGACCGGGAUGGACGUACCUCUGGUGUACCAGUUGUCCUGCCAAGGGCAUGGCUGGGUAGCUAUGUACGGAAUGGAUAAGCGCUGAAAGCAUCUAAGCGCGAAGCCAACUUCAAGAUAAGAUUUCCCACCGCAAGGGUAAGACCCCAGAAAGACUAUCUGGUUGAUAGGUCGAAGGUGUAAGUGCAGUAAUGUAUUUAGCUUAUCGAUACUAAUAGGUCGAGGACUUGACCAAU